AAAUAUUUCCCAUAUAUGUGCUACUUUUUUGAAUGCAAAUUAAAUUUUUGAAUGGGCUGAAUGCGUUUUUUGAUAUCUGGAAAAUUGCACAAUCAUGACGGAACCACAAAUCUAAAUUGCUAAAUCAAGUCCGGACGCCAAUGGGCUGUGCGAAUGGAUGGUGAAAACGAAAUAUGGAAUCGUUGAACUGACAUUGACAGUUGACAGCUGUCGAAAUUUCCAAAGUAUAUUCAAUUAAACUGCUAUUGAUUUUGUUUGUGCUAAUGAUAAGAGUGUGAGCUAGACGGGGAAAGAGCAAAAGAGAGCGAGGAAAAGAGAGAGAGAGAGAGAGAAGACAAAGCGCGGGUCAAUAGGCAGGACAAGGACAUGAAAAGAAGUUCAAAGCUCAAGGAAAUUUCAAAUCGAUCAAAAUGCUCACAUAUCGAUCCAAAGUCCCAAACAGAUGCGACGCCUAAUUUGUGUCUAACCUGGAACUUGUGACAUGCCGUGUGGCACCGCCGCGGGAGUCGGCUCGUCGACCCGUCGGCAAGGACAAUAGUUAUAAAUGAGAAUGGUACACACACCCACACACGCAGGAAAAUCAAGUCUGGGUUCUCUGGUUUCUAUAGUCUGCGCACAUUGCAAUUGUUAAA
Molecule: small RNA, 632 nt
Filed under: Drosophila mojavensis
Lineage: Eukaryota; Metazoa; Arthropoda; Insecta; Diptera; Drosophilidae
Description: GI25711
Source: RNAcentral